CCCUGUUGAGCUUGACUCUAGUCUGGCACUGUAAGGAGACAUAAGAGGUGUAGCAUAAGUGGGAGAUUUUGAGCAAUCUUAAUCAACAAUGAAAUACCACUACUCUUAUUGUUUCCUUACUUACUUGAUGAGGUGGACGUGUAUUAUAUUACUUAGCCAUUAUAUGGGUGUAUAUGCUUCGGUAUAUAUGCUUUAUGGUAUUUUGUUUUGAUGCGAGUUUCUAGUUCCAAAAUAUCAUGAGUUAAGCUAUUCAUCCCAAACAAAUUUCGUUAAUAUGUAUUGUUGGCAUUGGUUGGUACUCUGUAUCGUAUCGGUGUCGGCGUGCAUAGGAAUUUGGUUUAGCUUAUAUGACU
This 353-nucleotide ribosomal RNA is filed under the name Paraplatypeza environmental sample. RNAcentral's name for it is "eukaryotic LSU rRNA". It matches the Rfam family "Eukaryotic large subunit ribosomal RNA", at positions 2411 to 2591 of the family's 3401-position model. Lineage: Eukaryota; Metazoa; Arthropoda; Insecta; Diptera; Platypezidae. The record is from RNAcentral.